UAGUCCUAUUGUCUAUAAGAAUUUUAUUGAUGUCCUCAGGUUCAUGGGUUGGCCAGAAACUAAACUCAAGGUCGACUUCUUCAUUACUAAUGUCAAUGGAUUUAUAAUUUUUUUCUUGAAUUAUAUUUGCAUUAAUAUGCUGGAUAGAUUCUUAUUCUAGAUUGAAUAUAUUCAGUUCAAUAGUCAUGUUCCCAAAAGAUAGCUUCAUAAAUCCAUUCUGACAGUUGAUUUCUGUAUUUGCAGUUGCUAAG
RNAcentral lists this long non-coding RNA (251 nucleotides) under Elaeis guineensis (African oil palm). RNAcentral's name for it is "long non-coding RNA (EGUI_LNC021673)". The record is from RNAcentral. Lineage: Eukaryota; Viridiplantae; Streptophyta; Magnoliopsida; Arecales; Arecaceae.